UUGCAGGAAAUCGCACAAUUGGUGAUAGAGUGCAUUUCUGCCUGUACAAAGGGAAGAGAUAUGCAACUGGGGAAACAUGGAAGGAUGGCUGCGAAUACGAAUGUUCAUGCCUCGAUGCAUUGAGAGGCAUAUUUUCAUGCUGGAGCCGAUGUCCUGUUUACUAUGAUAUUCCACCUCAAUGCACAAUGGUCAACGUUCCUGGAAGUUGUUGUAAAAAGCCAAUUUGUGAUUUUGGCGGCAAGUCCACAACAUCGACUGGACAUCACAAAGGAAACCGUUUCGGUGUAGACGUGUGUGUUUACAAAGGAAAAGAAUACUACCAAGACCAAA
Long non-coding RNA from Octopus bimaculoides (California two-spot octopus), 330 nucleotides. NCBI's taxonomy places the organism in Eukaryota, Metazoa, Mollusca, Cephalopoda, Octopoda, Octopodidae. The record is from RefSeq and is a predicted model, not a curated record.